Molecule: ribosomal RNA, 311 nt
Filed under: uncultured Sphingobacteriales bacterium
Lineage: Bacteria; Pseudomonadati; Bacteroidota; Sphingobacteriia; Sphingobacteriales
Description: bacterial SSU rRNA
Rfam family: Bacterial small subunit ribosomal RNA
Source: RNAcentral
UCGGGUUAAGUCCCAUAACGAGCGCAACCCUUACUGUUAGUUGCCAAGCCGGGGUAAAUGCCGGGAACUCUAGCGGGACUGCCACCGUAAGGUGAGAGGAAGGUGGGGAUGACGUCAAAUCAGCACGGCCCUUAUGUCCAGGGCUACACACGUGUUACAAUGGCCGGUACAAAGGGCAGCUACACCGCGAGGUGAUGCUAAUCUCGAAAGCCGGUCUCAGUUCGGAUCGAAGUCUGCAACCCGACUUCGUGAAGGUGGAAUCGCUAGUAAUCGCGCAUCAGCAUGGCGCGGUGAAUACGUUCCCGGGCCUU